UCAAAUUAUAAGCCCUAAAUCCCAAAUUUCUGUCAUUGACUCCAUUGUCAAUCUCACAUCUUCCUUUUUUCUUUUCUUUUUCUGUCGAAUUCUUCUCCAUCCCUUUUCUAUAUCCAUAUUUUCUGAUAAUUUUGACGCCAUGUCCCGAAAUUCAAUGAAUAUCGAGGAAGUCGAUAUAUAUAAUUGCAGUAAUUAUUAUCGUCUAAAAACUAACUUCGAGGACUCCAUUGAAUCUAAGUCGUUGAUUUUUUGGAUGCAAAGCUUCAAAGAAAAAUGUUGGAUGUGGCUAUUUAAAUAGAUUGAUUCAUUGCCUGAAAGUGCUCAAGUGUCGUGCUCAAUGAAUAAAUUCAAAAAUGGUGAAAAAUUGAUUUAUUGACUAAAGGAAAAAUUAAAAGAUCUUGAAGAAGAAAGAGACUCUUUGAAAUUGAAAUUGAAUGAUUAUGAAGAGAAGAUGAUGGUAGUUAAUCAGAAGCUCAAGGAAGUUAAACUACAAAGGAAUCAGAAAAAUGCCAAAUUCAACAGGCUUGUGUUUGUUCUACUUUGUCUACUAACUAUAAAUGGUUCUUUAAUAUAGUAUAGUCUUGUAGUAGUUUAAAGUGUACGACCAGUGUAGGUGCAUGUUGAAUUAGCUGGUUAUGUUUUGUAUCAAAUUGAAAUCUUGAAAGUGAAUUGAUGGCCUUGUUUUGUAUCAAACUGGAAGCUUGAAUGUUAAUUGAUUGGCCUUAUUUUGUAUCAAACUUUGAGCUUGAAUGUGAA
Solanum dulcamara is the source of this 756-nucleotide long non-coding RNA. RefSeq lists it as uncharacterized. NCBI's taxonomy places the organism in Eukaryota, Viridiplantae, Streptophyta, Magnoliopsida, Solanales, Solanaceae. The transcript is spliced from 2 exons. The record is from RefSeq and is a predicted model, not a curated record.